AAGAAUUAAAUUGUUUUUUUUAAUUAAUUAGAUAUUUAAAAUUUGUAAUUAAAAAGAUAUUUUGAUUAACAAUAGUGGAUAGUACUGUGAAGGAAUUUUUGAAAGGUUUUUUUGAAAGUAAGAAAUUUUGUACCUUUUGUAUCAGGGUUUAGCUAAAAAAUUAAAAGUUUUUGAUAUCCCGAAAAAUCUUGAGCUAUAAAAAAUAGUUUUAAUCAUUUUAAAGAUUAAGAGAAUUUUUUUAUAGAAAUGAAAUUUUAUUCGUAAGAUUGUAUAUCUGGUUAAAUUUUGAAAAUUAGAUAUUUUUUUAUGGGUUGUGGUAUUGGAUAAAUUCAUAAGUUUUAUUUUCUGGGACAAGCUAGGGAAUUAUUUUUAUAUGAAUUUUAGCAUAUAAGUGUAGGUUUAAAAUUUACUUUUUUUGUAACAAAAAAUUUUUUUUGUGGUUAUUAUAAAAAUUUUAUAUUUUUCAAAGAAUUUUUAUUUGUAAGAAUUAAUGCUAUAAUUAGUAUAAUUGAAUAAUUUUAUUAAAGUUAAAUUUAUUAGUGGGGGGUUUAAAAAUAAAAAAGAACUCGGCAAAGAGUUUUUUGGAAUGUUUAUCAAAAACAUUGCAUCUUGAGUUUAUAAGAUGUAGAACCUGCUCAAUGAUUGUAUUAAAUUGCUGUGGUAUUGUGACUAUACGAAGGUAUUGAAAUAAGACUUUAAUUGAGUGCUAAGAGAAUGGUUUAACAAAAAUAGGCUUUUUUUUUAUUUAAAAUUGAAGUUAAUUUAAAAACGAAAAAGUUUUUAUGAAAUUUUAGGACAAGAAGACCCUAUGAAUUUUUUUAAAAAGCUUUUUUUUCAGGUUUUUUUAAAAAAAUUUUAGAAAAGUUUUUAAUUAAUUGGGGCGAUUUUUAAAUUUUUAGAAACUUUAAAGAUGUGAUAUUGGACCCAAUAUUAUUGAUACAUUAAUCAAAAUACUCUAGGGAUAACAGCGUUAUUACUUUGGAUAGUUCAUAUAGAUAAAGUAGAUUGCGACCUCGAUGUUGGAUUAGGAUACCUUUAUUAGUGAAGAAGUUAUAAAAGGAGGUUUGCUCAACCUUUAAAUUCCUACAUGAUCUGAGUUCAGACCGGCGUAAGCCAGGUUGGUUUCUAUCUAAAUUAUGAUAUGAGUUUUUAUAGUACGAAAGGAAUAGAAAACUAAAAAUUUUUUGAUAAGGUUUAUUAGUUUCAAUGUUAGU
RNAcentral lists this ribosomal RNA (1214 nucleotides) under Ornithodoros moubata. Its description in RNAcentral is "16S ribosomal RNA". The stretch from base 790 to 1134 matches the Rfam family "Archaeal large subunit ribosomal RNA", at positions 2151 to 2715 of the family's 2987-position model. The record is from RNAcentral. Lineage: Eukaryota; Metazoa; Arthropoda; Arachnida; Ixodida; Argasidae.